CCUGAACGAGCGACGCCGCGUGCGGGAUGAAGGCCUUUGGGUUGUAAACCGCUGUCGAGGGGAUGAAGGCAUUCAGGUCCUCCUGAAUGUUUGACAGAGCCCUGGAGGAAGCACGGGCUAAGUUCGUGCCAGCAGCCGCGGUAAUACGAACUGUGCGAACGUUAUUCGGAAUCACUGGGCUUACAGGGUGCGUAGGCGGCUAUUCAGGUCAGGUGUGAAAGCCCUCGGCUCAACCGAGGAACUGCGCUUGAAACCGGAUGGCUCGAGUCAACUAGAGGUGCACGGAACUUCCAGUGGAGCGGUGAAAUGUGUUGAUAUUGGAAGGAACACCGGAGGCGAAAGCGGUGCACUGGGGUUGGUCUGACGCUGAGGCACGAAAGCCAGGGGAGCGAACGGGAUUAGAUACCCCGGUAGUCCUGGCCGUAAACGAUGAGUGCUGGACGGGAGGGGUUCGCCCUUUCCGGUCGGAGCGAAAGCGGGAAGCACCCCGCCUGGGGAGUAUGGUCGCAAGGCUG
This 515-nucleotide ribosomal RNA is filed under the name uncultured Planctomycetota bacterium. RNAcentral's name for it is "bacterial SSU rRNA". It matches the Rfam family "Bacterial small subunit ribosomal RNA", at positions 382 to 896 of the family's 1533-position model. Lineage: Bacteria; Pseudomonadati; Planctomycetota. The record is from RNAcentral.